CGCUGUCACUCAUCCGUCUCAGGCUCUCAGCUCAGGCGACGACAGAACAGAAAGCAAGCUAUCAGAUCAGAACAAGUCCUUGAGAGUGGGUAGCUUGAACUCGCCGGAGGUGGAGAGCGGGAUGGUGAAGUUGCCAACGAUGGGGAGGUCGACGGUGAGCCCGACCUGGAGCUCGUAGUCGAGGUCCCAGUCCCUACCAACGUCGCGGACGAUGGAGACGAUGAAGUCGUAGGGCACCUUGGCGGGGAUCUCCAGCGAGGUGGUGCCGCUGGCGGCGAUCCACCCGGGGUCCGGCAUGGUCCCCGACGCCACCUCCCUGCCGGCGCACCGGAGCGUGUAGGUCACCUCGCAGAUGGGGAGGCGGUGGUCGUAGGGGUUGGACACGUUCACGCUGCUGUGCAGCGUGAUGCACUCCCUGCUCAGACCUUUGAACGUCACCGCGUCCAGCGUCGCCUCCGGCUUCGGGAUGUGCGCGAUCUUGUCGGCGACGAACUCCUUCGCCUUGUCCA
RNAcentral lists this long non-coding RNA (509 nucleotides) under Sorghum bicolor (sorghum). RNAcentral's name for it is "long non-coding RNA (SBIC_LNC016798)". The record is from RNAcentral. Lineage: Eukaryota; Viridiplantae; Streptophyta; Magnoliopsida; Poales; Poaceae.